RNAcentral lists this long non-coding RNA (776 nucleotides) under Olea europaea subsp. europaea. The record is from RNAcentral. Lineage: Eukaryota; Viridiplantae; Streptophyta; Magnoliopsida; Lamiales; Oleaceae.
GGCCUGUGCGAGCAUAGUUUUCUUAAAAUAGAUUCGCCCCCUCACCGUAAAUGCUUAAGGUCUAAUCCGAGCGUCUGUUUCUCAGGAUACAAUGGUAAAACCCGUAGAAUCUGAGCACCACAAAAACUACUUCGGCGAACUGAGUUUGUAUUCGAACAAUAUCACCACCACGACUAAAGAAGGAAACUGAGAUUAUGUAUAUGCAGACAGAACAAAAGUAUUUUCUGGUGCGAGACAGAAGGAUUUUUUUCGUGCGUAUAAAUUGCUGGAAAAUUGAGAUUUAAUAUAAUAUAAAUCUGUCCAAUAGCUCCAUGGCAAUAAACACUGGAGCCACUUCAGUUUCUGCUGGAGUUUUGACAAUUUUUGGAAACUCAAAGAUCAGUUGAAGAAAGCAAAAAAUUGCAAAACGUGGAAACUCCAAAUGGGCCAAUUUUUGCUCCGUUCGGUCCGAUAUUCGUGUACGCAGGUCACGCCCGCACAUAAGUUCAAGGUCCAAAGGUAAUUUCGGUCCGUGAUUUGCACCCCCUGCGCGCGCACGUAGAGAAAGCCUCCAUGCUACACAUGAUUACAUAUUUCCAAUGUAUAGCCAUAUUUAAAGUGGUUCUUACUUUCAUAUUUUCCCUAUGUGGGACUAAACUCAUUUUUCCCACAUAAAUCAUCUUUCAAUGAUCAUCUUUGAGCUUCAAUUUCUCAUUCACCCAAACUUCAUUUUUUACAAAUAAAUAUAUGAUUUUGAUGUUCUCACGGAGGAGAACACAGAUCAACUUUGAUCUUCC